GGCACUCUAUGAGACGGGCCCCGUUGGCCGUC
RNAcentral lists this small RNA (32 nucleotides) under Bombyx mori (domestic silkworm). RNAcentral's name for it is "ovarian small RNA-17374". The record is from RNAcentral. Lineage: Eukaryota; Metazoa; Arthropoda; Insecta; Lepidoptera; Bombycidae.